RNAcentral lists this long non-coding RNA (334 nucleotides) under Brassica rapa (field mustard). RNAcentral describes it as "long non-coding RNA (BRAP_LNC005115)". Lineage: Eukaryota; Viridiplantae; Streptophyta; Magnoliopsida; Brassicales; Brassicaceae. The record is from RNAcentral.
GUUGCUAUACGCAUGACUUGAAACAUUCAUAAUUAACAUAAGCAGGAUUAACUUCUUUUUAAUCAUUUCUAUGAAGACAAAAGAAACUAAAACGAAAUCUGUUAAAUCUAUAAUUUCUGUUAUUGCUAAUUGAUUAUGGUGUUUGAAAGUAGGUAAUAAUGUAUGGUUUUAACUUUCUAGUGACAAAUUGCAUCAUAAUUUCAAAGAUACUGACACCAUCAUCUCCAAUAAUUGUGAUUUAAAAGUUAAAUCAACCUUCUUAAACCAUCACAAAUAGUUUAAUUUUUUUUUAAUUCAAAAUAGAAAACUUUAUAAUAAAGUUGAGUUCUACUCA